GUAGGGAAUAUUGGGCAAUGGUCGGAAGACUGACCCAGCCAUGCCGCGUGCAGGAAGACGGCCCUCUGGGUUGUAAACUGCUUUUAUCUGGGAAGAAAAAGGCCAUGCGUGGCAAAUUGCCGGUACCAGAUGAAUAAGCACCGGCUAACUCCGUGCCAGCAGCCGCGGUAAUACGGAGGGUGCGAGCGUUGUCCGGAUUUAUUGGGUUUAAAGGGUGCGUAGGCGGCUGAUUAAGUCAGCGGUGAAAGACUUCGGCUUAACCAGAGCAGUGCCGUUGAUACUGGUUGGCUUGAGUGUCGGAGGGGUACAUGGAAUUGAUGGUGUAGCGGUGAAAUGCAUAGAUACCAUCAGGAACACCGAUAGCGAAGGCAUUGUACUGGCCGACAACUGACGCUGAUGCACGAAAGUGUGGGGAUCGAACAGGAUUAGAAACCCGGGUAGUCC
RNAcentral lists this ribosomal RNA (444 nucleotides) under uncultured bacterium. RNAcentral describes it as "partial 16S ribosomal RNA". It matches the Rfam family "Bacterial small subunit ribosomal RNA", at positions 354 to 796 of the family's 1533-position model. The record is from RNAcentral.